GACGAACGCUGGCGGCGUGCUUAAUACAUGCAAGUCGAACGGAAAGGCCAUGCUCUUGUGGGGUGCUCGAUUGGCGAACGGGUGAGUAAAACGUGAGUAAACUGCCCCUGUCUUUGGGAUAACUUUAGGAAACUGGGGCUAAUACCGCAUAGGAGCUCCUGCUGCACGGUGGGGGUUGGAAAGUUUCGGCUGUUCGGGAUGGACUCGCGGCUUAUCCGCUUGUUGGUGGGGUAGGGGCUGACCAAGUUUUUGACGGGUAGCCGGCCUGAGAGGGUGACCGGCCACAUGGGGACUGAGGGACGGCCCAGACUCCUACGGGAGGCAGCAGGGGAGAAUAUUGCACAGUGGGCGGAAGCCUGAUGCAGCAACGCCGCGUGCGGGAUGACGGCCUUCGGGUGGUAAACCGCUUUCGCCUGUGACGAAGCGUGAGUGACGGUAAUGGGUAAAGAAGCACCGGCUAACUACGUG
RNAcentral lists this ribosomal RNA (468 nucleotides) under uncultured bacterium. RNAcentral's name for it is "partial 16S ribosomal RNA". It matches the Rfam family "Bacterial small subunit ribosomal RNA", at positions 28 to 507 of the family's 1533-position model. The record is from RNAcentral.